AGGGCAAAAAUUAAGAGGUUCGACCAGGAAGUGGACCGAGCGACGUGAGGCAUCGACCGCGGCCUAGGCGGCCGGGAUCGGGUCUUACAAGUUGGUAUCAGAGCAUGCUUGAUCCUGUUUAGGACAACGCUCUAAGAUGUUGAGUUCCAAACCGAAAUUAUUCCAAAAACUAUGAUGACUAUGGAACCUUAGUUGGGGUGAGCCAAGAAAGAGUUGAAGUAAGCUAGGGUAUCAUUGUGAAUGUGGGAGUUCUAAGAUGAACCGGCUUAGCCAAGAUACGUUCUCCAAGGGCAAGAUCCUAAAAACAGAAAGGUUGGUCGAUCUAGUUAUUUAGAAGUAAUAGACGGGUUGGAAGGGAUGGAAGCAAUGCAAAACUUGUUUAUGGAUUACCUGGACAAGGGAAGUAACAUGGACCAGAGAGUGGCUUAGGUUGACAUAAACGUGCAGCACUCUACAAAAGUUAAGUGUUAUCCCUUGAUGGCCGUUCAUAAUAAGUAAAGCAUAUGCAUUGUAAAAUCUGACUCGAAGGAGACACUACAUGACCAGUACACGAGUGGAUUUGUGAUCAGAUGGAUCAGCUAGAACUCGGUAUAGGUCAAGGUAGGUUUCCUUAUAUCUAGUUGGAUGGAAUGAAUCAAUUCCAAUCUGAAUCCAUCCAAGGAAAGAAUGAGGAAACUCAGAGUGUUCAUUCCAAUCAUUGGAAGAACAUGAUGUUAAGUAUCUU
Molecule: long non-coding RNA, 724 nt
Filed under: Brassica napus (rape)
Lineage: Eukaryota; Viridiplantae; Streptophyta; Magnoliopsida; Brassicales; Brassicaceae
Description: long non-coding RNA (BNAP_LNC011494)
Source: RNAcentral